AGGUUGGAGCUACACUGCUUGGUCCCACUUGGGAAGGAGCAGAGAGGAGAGCUGUGAACAUCAUGUGCAAUGGCUUUACUCUUUACCAUCUCUGAAGAGGGUAGACCUUUGCUUUUCUCUUGAAAGUUUUGAUGUCAUCUAUUGUUAUUAGACCAGGACUUUCAUUAGAGGUCCAUGUCAGUGUUAAAAUGACUAGUAUGCUGGUCAAAAGUUUGGUGGGAUGCAAAUGAACUAGUUCGCCUUAAAUCAGCUAUUGUCACUGAGCAAAUAACAGAGUCUUCUGUUUAAAAUACUCUGUUUCACUUGCCUAUUGCGGCAUGAAAAAUGACCCCAAAACUCACUGGCUUAAAACAACCACCAUUGUAUUUGUUCACAAUUAUUUUGUGGGACAGAAUUUUGGAUUCAGAAUAGCAGGGAUGGCCUGUCUCUGCUCUGUGAUGCCUGGGGGCAGUGGCAUUGUCUUGAAUGGCUGGAAACUGGCUGGAAUGGCUUGACUCAGUCAUAUGCCUGGAGCCUCAGUUACAGCUGUUGCCUGGAGCUUCAGUUAUGGCUGUUGCCUGGAUUCCUCAGCUUUCCUUGGUGUGGGCUCUCCAAGAGGCUAGCUUAGACUUCCUCACAGUAUGGUGUCUCAGGGUAAUUGAACUUCUCACAUGGUAGCUGGCUGCCUAUAGGGCAUUCCAAGAGAAUAACUCCCAAUGUGAAAGCAUUUAGUAAGCCUCUGCUUGUGUCAAGCUUGUUGAUGUUCCAUUGGCCAAAUCAAGUCUCAUGACCAAGCCCAGCGUCAAUGUGGGAGGCAGUAGAGAAAGGCCUGACUGCUGGAGGCAUGGAUGCAUUGGGGCCACCAAUAUGUACAGCAUACCCAGAAAAUAAAACCAUUAUUUAAAUGAGAAAUUUAAAUGCACAUU
This 905-nucleotide long non-coding RNA is filed under the name Homo sapiens (human). Its description in RNAcentral is "non-protein coding lnc-TMEM99-4:2". The record is from RNAcentral. Lineage: Eukaryota; Metazoa; Chordata; Mammalia; Primates; Hominidae.